This 73-nucleotide transfer RNA is filed under the name Rhodotorula toruloides. RNAcentral describes it as "tRNA-Pro". It matches the Rfam family "tRNA". From Rfam's summary of the family: Transfer RNA (tRNA) molecules are approximately 80 nucleotides in length. Their secondary structure includes four short double-helical elements and three loops (D, anti-codon, and T loops). The record is from RNAcentral. Lineage: Eukaryota; Fungi; Basidiomycota; Microbotryomycetes; Sporidiobolales; Sporidiobolaceae.
GGCCUGAUGGUCUAGAGGUAUGAUUCUCUCUUAGGGUGGGAGAGGUCCCGGGUUCAAUCCCCGGUUAGGCCCA